Molecule: microRNA precursor, 88 nt
Filed under: Medicago truncatula (barrel medic)
Lineage: Eukaryota; Viridiplantae; Streptophyta; Magnoliopsida; Fabales; Fabaceae
Description: MIR2617 microRNA precursor family
Rfam family: MIR2617 microRNA precursor family
Source: Rfam by way of RNAcentral
AUGUAGUGUGACAUGCCCGUUGGGUUUUACUCUGAUGUUGAAUUAAUUAUUAUUUAAUUACUUUUGGGUAAUGGGGUGUUACACUUAA